AACCUGGUUGAUCCUGCCAGUGCCCUACUAUAUUGGGAUUCGACUAAGCCAUGCGAGUCGAGAGGCUUUGGACCUCGGCUGACGGCUCAGUAACACGUGGAUAAUCUGCCCUUAGGUGGAGGAUAACCUCGGGAAACUGAGAAUAAUACUCCAUAGGUCUAGGAUGCUGGAAUGCAUCUAGACUGAAAACUCCGGUGCCUAAGGAUGAGUCUGCGGACUAUCAGGUUGUAGUCAGGGUAAAGACCUGACUAGCCUACGACGGAUAUGGGUUGUGAGAGCAAUAACCCAGAGAUGAUAUCUGAGACACGAUAUCAGGCCCUACGGGGCGCAGCAGGCGCGAAAACUUCACACUGUGCGAAAGCACGAUGAGGGAAUCCCAAGUGCCAGCUCGUAAGAGUUGGCUGUUUUUCUGUCUAAAACACAGAGAGAGUAAGAGCUGGGUAAGACGGGUGCCAGCCGCCGCGGUAAUACCUGCAGCUCGAGUGGUGGCCGCUAUUAUUGGGCCUAAAACGUCCGUAGCCGGUUUGGUAAAUGCCUGGGUAAUCGUGUAGCUUAACUAUACGAAUUCCGGGUAGACUGCUAAACUUGAGACCGGGAGAGGCUAGAGGUACUCCUGGGGUAGAGGUGAAAUUCUGUAAUCCUGGGGGGACCACCAGUGGCGAAGGCGUCUAGCUAGAACGGAUCUGACGGUGAGGGACGAAGCCCUGGGGCGCAAACCGGAUUAGAUACCCGGGUAGUCCAGGGUGUAAACGCUGCUUGCUUGAUGUUAGUUGGGCUCCGAGCCCAAUUAGUGUC
Molecule: ribosomal RNA, 795 nt
Filed under: uncultured organism
Description: bacterial SSU rRNA
Rfam family: Archaeal small subunit ribosomal RNA
Source: RNAcentral